RNAcentral lists this small RNA (116 nucleotides) under Escherichia coli. RNAcentral's name for it is "partial RtT sRNA". It matches the Rfam family "RtT RNA", at positions 17 to 130 of the family's 130-position model. From Rfam's summary of the family: This family represents a bacterial cis-regulatory element known as RtT RNA. The exact function of RtT is unknown although it is thought that it may be involved in changing the cellular response in relation to amino acid starvation. Lineage: Bacteria; Pseudomonadati; Pseudomonadota; Gammaproteobacteria; Enterobacterales; Enterobacteriaceae. The record is from RNAcentral.
GAAGGAUGAGAAGCUUCGACUAAGGUUCGGCUCGAGCGUCAGCGAGAGAGCGUUGCCGCAGGCAACGACCCGAAGGGCGAAGCGCGCAGCGCUGAGUAAUCCUUCCCCCACCACCA